AAACCAGUCUCGCUGAGUCUCCGAACGGAGAACGGGGGAACCGAAUGACGCGAACGAUUGCGAUCGCAUCAUUGAUUUCUUCCAAGGGUCUAGGGGUGAAUUUUGCGCCAUUUCGCCAUGAGCGGAAUAGGCUCGAAUAGGGCGACUCUCACGUCCGAAUCCGACAGCUAACCUCGUAAGCGUGCAGAGAGAGGUAAC
RNAcentral lists this small RNA (198 nucleotides) under Paenibacillus sp. CECT 9249. RNAcentral's name for it is "ydaO-yuaA". It matches the Rfam family "c-di-AMP riboswitch aptamer (ydaO/yuaA leader)". Rfam says of the family: This family represents a conserved RNA structure found upstream of the ydaO and yuaA genes in Bacillus subtilis and related genes in other bacteria. The ydaO/yuaA element is thought to act as a genetic "off" switch for the ydaO and yuaA genes in its native state. It is believed that the element may be triggered during osmotic shock leading to activation of ydaO, a predicted amino acid transporter gene, and members of the yuaA-yubG operon which code for KtrA and KtrB K+ transporters. Lineage: Bacteria; Bacillati; Bacillota; Bacilli; Caryophanales; Paenibacillaceae. The record is from RNAcentral.